Molecule: transfer RNA, 76 nt
Filed under: Anaerolineales bacterium
Lineage: Bacteria; Bacillati; Chloroflexota; Anaerolineae; Anaerolineales
Description: tRNA-Met
Rfam family: tRNA
About the family: Transfer RNA (tRNA) molecules are approximately 80 nucleotides in length. Their secondary structure includes four short double-helical elements and three loops (D, anti-codon, and T loops).
Source: RNAcentral
GGCGAGGUAGCUCAAUCGGCAGAGCAACGGACUCAUAAGCCGUGGGUUGUGGGUUCAAGUCCCACCCUCGCCACCA